CACUCUGAGUCAGGCCUAGGUCAAAAGGUCAACAACGUAAAACCCAGUUCCGAUACAUUCCCGAGCACAAACACACCCCACACACACACUAGCAUGCAUACGAACCUGUUCAUAAAGUCGAGCACUUCGAAAGUUUUAACAUCGGAAAAGGUUCGACCGAAUUUCCAGAGUCUAUUCUUCACUACUUCCAGAAUCAAACACUUCGAAAGUUUGAACAUCGGCAAAGUUCAACAGAAUUUCCAGAGUCUAUCCUUCACUACUUCCAGACACCAUGGAUUUCUCGGCAGACAGCUUGGUGAUUAUUUCUGAUGAUGAGAUUCCCGAAACAACCACUCAUGGCCUUUUGAAUCUGAGCUCCACACAAUUUGAGGGAAACGUGACUAACAGUGAUUACGACGGAGAUAUUUCAGAUACGAGUGAUGCAAUAGAAGACCAAGAGGAGAUCAUCUCGGAAACCGACAUUCACAAGACAUCGAACUACAACGGAUCUGCGCAGUGUGGCGUGAAUUCUUCGAAGCAAGACUGAUUUAUUGGAAAACUUUGGACAGAUUGAUUAUACACUUGAAUCUGGUCGAGGUACAGAUUUUAUCCCUUUACUGUAUAGCACGCUUGAAAAUGUGAAUAGAACCAGAUUUCGCUGCACUGUGUUUCGGUAUCAACCGGUGACGACACACCCGAUCACAAAGAGAUCAUAAUUAUUGUUGCAUGUUCUUUACCAUAUAGCUUUCCCAUGAAUACCAACUCAACCCACUAUCCCCCCCAUCAGGUUGUUGGUUGUUUUCCCUGAGUCAGGCCUUGGUCAAAAAGGUCUAUGAUAAUUAUUGACACACACACACACACAUAUACGAACCUGUCUAUAAAAGCGAACACUUCGUUAGUUGGAAAAUUGGAAAAAUCAGCAAAGAGUCGAAUAGUUCGAAGGGAUCGACAGAAUUUCCAGACUCUAUCCUUCAAAACUUCCAGACACCAUGGAUUUCUCAGCAGAGCAAGACCGAACUAAGCUCGUCUGAUUCUAGUGUAUAGGAUAACGUAUCAAACGAAUGCGAGUCUACAAGAUAACAGUGCCGUCAUAAUUUCUGACGAUGAAAUUUCCGAGACAUCUGAUCGAAGCCUUUUGAAUCUGAGCUCUACACCACAAAUGAAAAUCCCUCUCUAGACGAGCAGAUUUGUCAGAUGAAACCUUUUCCUUCUUAUCCACUGCUACGGUAAACUAAAGAGUAGAUUUUCAAAUUACACUGCUAAAUAUGACUAGCAUUAGCUACGUGUAGUAGUGCAAAAAUAGUCCAUCAACUGUAUUAGCAGGUGUAGCCUAUACACGAGUCCACUGCUGGUCAUAUCACUAUUGAGAACGUGUCCCAAAUUCACUGCUUUAGUAGAAUUUAAUUGUAAGUGAAAUGAUGCUCACACUGUAAUGUCCUUUGUAUUUGUUCAGUCCACAGGUCCUCUAACACUCUGUUAAAUGAAUAAAUGUAAAUGUACUACAACGUAGAUUUUGUUUUAAAUCAAUUAAUGCAGAAAUUACACACAAUAUUAUCAACAUUAUUAUGUCAACACAACUCAUCAAAAUAAUGUGUACAACUUUAAAUAUUUAAUGAAUUCAAUAAAUUAGAAUUUUUAUCUUGCAACCACACAUUAAAUUUAGAUUGUGGGGGUUUGCUUUGUAUAGCGCCGCUGUUAGAAAAUACAUGAUGGUUGAACGUGAACAUAAAUGAGCAGAAUGUAAGCUUGUGAAAUAAAUGAAACUUUAUUGAUUGCAGUUUUGAGAAAAUGGCAUGACUUUGAAUAAAAAUUUACUGAAAUAAAUACUCUAAAACAUUGAUAUACCCGAAGAAAUGUAAAAAAAAAAAAAAAAAAAAAAAAAAAAAGUUUUUACAUACCUUCUAAAUAGGUCCCUUCAGGAGGUAAACGUUUUAAAGACGGUGUUUUAUAAGAAACGCGCGUAUUACAUGCCUUCUAAACCUAACCCUUUAGGAUGUGAAAUGUUUAAAGUGUUGCUUAAAAGAAUCGAGAGUUUUGUUUAAACUAGAAGACACAUUUUUCGGGCGAUGUCUUGUAGGCCCAUACACACUCUCCUACACAUGUGUUUUCCCGGGGUGACAGUUCUGUAGAUAGUGUAAAUUUUACAUUUAUGAGCUCUGGUGACAGUGUCUGAAGUGUGUGUGUAUGUGGGUGUGGGGGUGUGCGUGCGUGUGUGUGGGUGUGUUAGAAAGAGAGAGAGAGAGAGAGAAGAGAGAGAGAGAGAGAGAGAGAGAGAGAGAGAGAGAGAGAGAGAGAGUGAGUCAUGUGUUUCCUGGGGGUUUGCUGACCAGACUGCUUACAGUGUGUUUAUGUUAAUGAAAUAAGGGAUGAGUCGUGUGUUUCAGGGUUUAACGAUCCCUACCAAUGUGUACAUUUGUGGUUUAAGUGAAUCUUUGUUUCUGAAAUUACUUCUGUCGUAAUUAUCAGUUCGUGUAACUAAUCUAUCAGAAAAUACUAGACCUGGUGACUGAAUGUGGUAGAUGUAUUAGAAUUUUGGACAUGUUAUGCAUGUGUAGCGUAUACCUGUGUACCCUAUGUGUAUGAUCUAUGUGUAAUCCUUCUGUCAAGAGAUGAACAGACUGAGGUUUGUGAAAUAAUUGAACGAUU
Ictalurus punctatus (channel catfish) is the source of this 2625-nucleotide long non-coding RNA. The record is from Ensembl. NCBI's taxonomy places the organism in Eukaryota, Metazoa, Chordata, Actinopteri, Siluriformes, Ictaluridae.